UGCGCAAGUCAUUGGGACAUAAAGCGAAACCUAGAGGCGAAAUGAAAGUGAAUGUGUGUGCGUGUGCCACUUGUGGUGUGCGCGCACAGAGGGAGGAUGGGCCGACCCAAGCAGGUCGGCUCCGCACUCCCGGGGCGUCUCGUGUUCAUUGCGAACUGAGGCGCACCUAGAGCGUACACGCUGGGACCCGAAAGAUGGUGAACUAUGCCUGGUCAGGACGAAGUCAGGGGAAACCCUGAUGGAGGUCCGUAGCGAUUCUGACGUGCAAAUCGAUCGUCGGAACUGGGUAUAGGGGCGAAAGACUAAUCGAACCAUCUAGUAGCUCGUUCCUU
Molecule: ribosomal RNA, 332 nt
Filed under: Perriniella bofilli
Lineage: Eukaryota; Metazoa; Arthropoda; Insecta; Coleoptera; Leiodidae
Description: LSU rRNA
Rfam family: Eukaryotic large subunit ribosomal RNA
Source: RNAcentral